Molecule: long non-coding RNA, 800 nt
Filed under: Homo sapiens (human)
Lineage: Eukaryota; Metazoa; Chordata; Mammalia; Primates; Hominidae
Description: HSALNT0354047
Source: RNAcentral
CCUCCAUUAGCAGAGCUUAGGCCGGCAGCAGUCAGAAAUGUCUGCUGGAGAAGACACUGCAAAGUGUCAGUGAGGGCGUUUGAGAAUUAAUUUUACCCUAGAGUAGCUGCGCAGGUCUGUUUAGCACUCACCUCUACAGUUUUGAACAUUCGAUAACACCAGAAUCAGUCUGAUGCCUUGAACACUUUACAUGAAGGGUUUUUCAAAAUCUAGCCACAAACAGAUAUGACCAGAUUUCAAAAAAUUUUGAGAAACUAGGAGGAAUCUAUUUUGACAAAGCCAAGCCACACAUAGGAUAGAGGCAGACAUGCGUGCCCUGGAAAGAAGAAAGUAGAAGGAUCAACUAAAAGAGCUCUCCCACUAAAUGGCUGUGGGCUCCUCUAAGAAACUGAAACAUGGAAGAAGGAAGGACCAGCCAGCCAGAACAGCAGUGGGUAUCAAGGAAUGAUAUAAAAGCAAGCUCAAGACAGUCAAGAUUCAAGGAGCUAUAUACCUUGCUUCCUUUCCAGAGCUGAAAUUUGAGUCAAGAGUCCAUUUCUUCCAUCUGGCCAGAUGAUCUCCAGGAUACUCUCAUAGGUACCACUGGGAACUUGGGGAUUACAGACCAUUUAAACUCCACCUUGAUAUCUAUCAGGACAACAGAAGGAGAGUUUACAGAAGAAAAGAAGCAUACAAUGCAGAUAAGGUGGAUGUGACACUAGGUCUCAGCAUGGCUUUCCCUGGGGAGGCUUGGCCUCUGCAGCCAGGCACUUCAAAUAUGCCAUGCCACUGUCUCCAGGCCUGUAAGGUUUCCACUGAAA